CAGUCGCCGCGGUAAUACAGAGGGUGCGAGCGUUAAUCGGAUUUACUGGGCGUAAAGCGUGCGUAGGCGGCUUCUUAAGUCGGAUGUGAAAUCCCUGAGCUUAACUUAGGAAUUGCAUUCGAUACUGGGAAGCUAGAGUAUGGGAGAGGAUGGUAGAAUUCCAGGUGUAGCGGUGAAAUGCGUAGAGAUCUGGAGGAAUACCGAUGGCGAAGGCAGCCAUCUGGCCUAAUACUGACGCUGAGGUACGAAAGCAUGGGGAGCAAACAGGAUUAGAUACCCGAGUAGUCCCUGUCUCUUAUAC
Molecule: ribosomal RNA, 301 nt
Filed under: uncultured bacterium
Lineage: Bacteria
Description: partial 16S ribosomal RNA
Rfam family: Bacterial small subunit ribosomal RNA
Source: RNAcentral